This 1406-nucleotide long non-coding RNA is filed under the name Mytilus galloprovincialis (Mediterranean mussel). The record is from RNAcentral. Lineage: Eukaryota; Metazoa; Mollusca; Bivalvia; Mytilida; Mytilidae.
UUUUGCUCAACUUUAAAAAGUUAUCAUGUGAGUUAAUUCUUGUCUGUGUUAUUAUAAUUUUUUAAAAGUGCUAAUUUAAACCUAGUUCUCAUUUGAAUCAUCCAAAGACUUUGUUAGUUAUAUCCGUCAGUUUCCCAGAUACUGUAAACCAACUUAUUUUCAUUGAUACUUUAUUUCGCGUUUUACCCUUUCUAGACCGCUUCGCGGGUAUUUAAUUACGUGAUUUACUGAUUUACUUAAUGAAGUUUAAUAAGGAAUAAUGGAAGUUUUACAUAUUCGCGACGAUUUAAAUUCGCAUUUUUUUUCUACUCGCGAAAGUCGCGAAAAUAAAUCGCUUGCGAAAAAUAAGUCGGUUUACAGUACAUGUUGUACUAUAAAUAAAAGGUCAUGGAUGUUUGGUAUAUAUGGUAAACAUGUAAUUUUAAAGUGUAAAUGACUGUCUAGUAGGGUUCAUAUAACCAUGAUUGCAUACUUUAUUGGUCAAUGUUAAAUUUUUGGGGUGUGGUAAAUUUCUCAUAUGCUACAAGCAUUAGGUUAUCUGACUUUCUUCUACCAUCUUUACUUUGGCAAUGUUUGCAAAAAAUUGAAAAGUUACAAAUAUAUCAGAAAAAUCACUAUUAUAAACUUUUUUCUGCAUGGUCAAAUUUCACUGCAAUAGUACCUAGAACAAUUGUUCACAAACAGUUUGCUUAGAAAAUAUUAGACCAUCAAAUUAUAUGGGGGAUAACUUUUACCUACAUGAUCUACGCAACAAAAUGCACUGACAGUGAAUGCUUAAAAUAUUAAUAUCCUGUUUUGGGUCUUGUACAUCCUGACCUUGGCUUGAAAAUUUUUGAGGGCCUGUAGGUGGCCUGUUGCAAGGCCAAAUUUCUGUCCCUAUCCAAUUUGCCCUCAUUUUCCAGUGGCAGUCCAAAAUUUCCCGACCAUUAUCCCAAAUAGCCUCUAUUAUGACAAGACCUACCUAUUGUAUUUAUUGUGAACUUGUUCUCGUCCUGAUAAUGCAUGAAAUAUUUGCCACUGGACAUUAAGCAACCAACAAUCAAUCAAUCAAUGAAAAUUUUUGACUUUGAGCAUUCCAGAUGAAAAUAAAUCCAGAAAAACACUUCAGAUGUAAAAAAAAAAUAUAAAGUGUCAUUUCCAUUCAUAGAUUGUGCCUCAUCAUAUCAUUCUUUUUUAUAAUUUGUAAAAUGGCAUUUGUGGCACUCAUCAUUUUGAUAUAUAUAAAAUGUUGAUAUUUUGUUAUGUUUGAUUGUAGUGAACAAAUUGAAGGGAUAUGGUUGUGUCAGGUCUACAGAAUAUACAAUGUUUUCAUUCACCUCUCACAUCUCAGAGUCUGUUCUAGACACAACCAAAUCCAAUUAUUGUGGCAAAUAAAUAUAGUGAGAUAUAUUUUGUGCUUCUUUUUU